UACGUAGGUGGCGAGCGUUGUCCGGAUUUACUGGGCGUAAAGGGAGCGUAGGCGGACUUUUAAGUGAGAUGUGAAAUACCCGGGCUCAACUUGGGUGCUGCAUUUCAAACUGGAAGUCUAGAGUGCAGGAGAGGAGAAUGGAAUUCCUAGUGUAGCGGUGAAAUGCGUAGAGAUUAGGAAGAACACCAGUGGCGAAGGCGAUUCUCUGGUCUGUAACUGACGCUGAGGCUCGAAAGCGUGGGGAGCAAACAGGAUUAGAUACCCU
RNAcentral lists this ribosomal RNA (265 nucleotides) under uncultured prokaryote. RNAcentral describes it as "partial 16S ribosomal RNA". It matches the Rfam family "Bacterial small subunit ribosomal RNA", at positions 524 to 788 of the family's 1533-position model. The record is from RNAcentral.